UUCACUUCGGUGAAGAGUGGCGAACGGGUGAGUAAUACAUAAGUAACCUGGCAUCUACAGGGGGAUAACUGAUGGAAACGUCAGCUAAGACCGCAUAGGUGUAGGGAUCGCAUGAACUCUAUAUGAAAAGUGCUACGGGACUGGUAGAUGAUGGACUUAUGGCGCAUUAGCUUGUUGGUAGGGUAACGGCCUACCAAGGCGACGAUGCGUAGCCGACCUGAGAGGGUGACCGGCCACACUGGGACUGAGACACGGCCCAGACUCC
RNAcentral lists this ribosomal RNA (265 nucleotides) under uncultured Coprobacillus sp. Its description in RNAcentral is "partial 16S ribosomal RNA". It matches the Rfam family "Bacterial small subunit ribosomal RNA", at positions 74 to 339 of the family's 1533-position model. The record is from RNAcentral. Lineage: Bacteria; Bacillati; Bacillota; Erysipelotrichia; Erysipelotrichales; Coprobacillaceae.